GGGGAAUAUUGGACAAUGGGCGAAAGCCUGAUCCAGCCAUGCCGCGUGUGUGAAGAAGGUCUUCGGAUUGUAAAGCACUUUAAGUUGGGAGGAAGGGCUGCAAGUUAAUACCUUGUAGUUUUGACGUUACCAACAGAAUAAGCACCGGCUAACUUCGUGCCAGCAGCCGCGGUAAUAACGAAGGGUGCAAGCGUUAAUCGGAAUUACUGGGCGUAAAGCGCGCGUAGGUGGGUUGGUAAGAUGGAUGUGAAAUCCCCGGGCUCAACCUGGGAACGGCACCCAAAAUUGCCGGAUUAAAGUACGGUAGAGGGUGGUGAAAUUUCUGGUGUAGGGGUGAAAGGGGUAGAAAUAGGAAGGAACACCAGUGGCGAAGGCGACCACCGGGACUGAUACUACCACUGAGGUGCAAAGGCGUGGGAGCAAACA
This 426-nucleotide ribosomal RNA is filed under the name uncultured Pseudomonadaceae bacterium. RNAcentral describes it as "bacterial SSU rRNA". It matches the Rfam family "Bacterial small subunit ribosomal RNA", at positions 356 to 774 of the family's 1533-position model. Lineage: Bacteria; Pseudomonadati; Pseudomonadota; Gammaproteobacteria; Pseudomonadales; Pseudomonadaceae. The record is from RNAcentral.